RNAcentral lists this ribosomal RNA (475 nucleotides) under uncultured bacterium. RNAcentral describes it as "bacterial SSU rRNA". It matches the Rfam family "Bacterial small subunit ribosomal RNA", at positions 32 to 507 of the family's 1533-position model. The record is from RNAcentral.
AACGCUGGCGGCAUGCCUUACACAUGCAAGUCGAACGGCAGCACGGGAGCAAUCCUGGUGGCGAGUGGCGAACGGGUGAGUAAUAUAUCGGAACGUGCCCGGUCGUGGGGGAUAACGUAGCGAAAGCUACGCUAAUACCGCAUACGAUCUACGGAUGAAAGCGGGGGAUCGCAAGACCUCGCGCGAUUGGAGCGGCCGAUAUCAGAUUAGGUAGUUGGUGAGGUAAAGGCUCACCAAGCCGACGAUCUGUAGCUGGUCUGAGAGGACGACCAGCCACACUGGUACUGAGACACGGACCAGACUCCUACGGGAGGCAGCAGUGAGGAAUAUUGGACAAUGGGCGCAAGCCUGAUCCAGCCAUGCCGCGUGCAGGAUGACGGUCCUAUGGAUUGUAAACUGCUUUUAUACAGGAAGAAACACUCCGACGUGUCGGAGCUUGACGGUACUGUAAGAAUAAGGAUCGGCUAACUCCGUG